Molecule: transfer RNA, 78 nt
Filed under: Streptomyces atratus
Lineage: Bacteria; Bacillati; Actinomycetota; Actinomycetes; Kitasatosporales; Streptomycetaceae
Also listed under: 13 other names
Description: tRNA_Pro_TGG
Rfam family: tRNA
About the family: Transfer RNA (tRNA) molecules are approximately 80 nucleotides in length. Their secondary structure includes four short double-helical elements and three loops (D, anti-codon, and T loops).
Source: RNAcentral
CGGGAUAUGGCGCAGCUUGGUCAGCGCAUCCGCUUUGGGAGCGGAGGGCCGCAGGUUCGAAUCCUGCUAUCCCGACCA